GAAUGAAAGUGAUGAGCAUAAGGAAAAGUGAUGAUAUUUUUUUUUUUCAAAUGAACCAUAAAUUGUAUCCUUAUUCGUUAGGUUCUUUCUGAUUCAUUC
Molecule: non-coding RNA, 99 nt
Organism: Capsicum annuum
Lineage: Eukaryota; Viridiplantae; Streptophyta; Magnoliopsida; Solanales; Solanaceae
Source: Rfam